This 301-nucleotide long non-coding RNA is filed under the name Nicotiana benthamiana. RNAcentral's name for it is "long non-coding RNA (NBEN_LNC023895)". Lineage: Eukaryota; Viridiplantae; Streptophyta; Magnoliopsida; Solanales; Solanaceae. The record is from RNAcentral.
GUAUUAGGAGUAGAUUAGGUUAUGUGUAUUAUAUAUAGGGCUCAUUAUGUCAUGUUUAGUAUUAAUUAUAUAUUUUUCUCCCGUGCUUUCUCACAUGGUAUCAGAGCUUUGGUGAGAAUAUUAUAGCUGUGCGUCAUUCCAGCUAGUUCCGGGAAGAAAGACCUCGUCGCCGUGCAAUUUUCCGGCGACUUAAGAGGCUGUCCGUAACUAAACUACCUUUUUUAUUGGUGUUGUGCAAAAUCCGAGACCACCGCGAGGUUCGGAAGAGAAUUCCGACCAACCCCAGAAAAAAUCACCGGAG